Molecule: ribosomal RNA, 253 nt
Filed under: uncultured bacterium
Lineage: Bacteria
Description: partial 16S ribosomal RNA
Rfam family: Bacterial small subunit ribosomal RNA
Source: RNAcentral
GACAGAGGAUGCAAACGUUGCUCGGAUUUACUGGGCGUAAAGCGCGCGCAGGCGGUCCUGUAAGUCGAGUGUGAAAUCCCGGGGCUCAACCUCGGACGUGCACUCGAUACUGCGGGACUGGAGUACUGGAGAGGAGAGCGGAAUUCCCGGUGUAGAGGUGAAAUUCGUAGAUAUCGGGAGGAACACCGAUGGCGAAGGCAGCUCGCUGGGACGGUACUGACGCUGAGGCGCGAAAGCGUGGGGAGCAAACAGG